AUUGAACGCUGGCGGCAGGCCUAACACAUGCAAGUCGAACGGUAACAGGAAACAGCUUGCUGUUUCGUUGACGAGUGGCGGACGGGUGAGUAAUGUCUGGGAAACUGCCUGAUGGAGGGGGAUAACUACUGGAAACGGUAGCUAAUACCGCAUAACGUCGCAAGACCAAAGAGGGGGACCUUCGGGCCUCUUGCCAUCGGAUGUGCCCAGAUGGGAUUAGCUAGUAGGUGGGGUAACGGCUCACCUAGGCGACGAUCCCUAGCUGGUCUGAGAGGAUGACCAGCCACACUGGAACUGAGACACGGUCCAGACUCCUACGGGAGGCAGCAGUGGGGAAUAUUGCACAAUGGGCGCAAGCCUGAUGCAGCCAUGCCGCGUGUAUGAAGAAGGCCUUCGGGUUGUAAAGUACUUUCAGCGGGGAGGAAGGGAGUAAAGUUAAUACCUUUACUCAUUGACGUUACCCGCAGAAGAAGCACCGGCUAACUCCGUG
This 490-nucleotide ribosomal RNA is filed under the name uncultured bacterium. Its description in RNAcentral is "partial 16S ribosomal RNA". It matches the Rfam family "Bacterial small subunit ribosomal RNA", at positions 30 to 507 of the family's 1533-position model. The record is from RNAcentral.